AAUCAGUGCCCUCUGGAUACUAUAUAUAAGGCAUCCAUCCAUAGGUGGACAAAUAAAUGGAAGAAAAGAAAAAAAUGUCUUAUCAUCCCAGGCUGAGGCUUCAGGAAUGGAAGUGAAAUGAACUACUGGGAACGCAGAAAUUACAUUGAGACUGAUUCAAAAGUGGAGUGGAUUUCUGUGGGUAAGCGUGAAGAAUGGAACAAAAGUGGAAAAGCUGGAAAAGGCUGAG
Molecule: long non-coding RNA, 229 nt
Filed under: Phasianus colchicus (ring-necked pheasant)
Lineage: Eukaryota; Metazoa; Chordata; Aves; Galliformes; Phasianidae
Description: lncRNA (ENSPCLG00000002501.1)
Source: RNAcentral